This 558-nucleotide long non-coding RNA is filed under the name Marmota monax (woodchuck). Lineage: Eukaryota; Metazoa; Chordata; Mammalia; Rodentia; Sciuridae. The record is from RNAcentral.
CUCCCAGUCUGGAGGUGAGAUCACUUUUCUGUCAAAAAUGUCUGUUGCCUGAAGGAGACUCAGGUCUCAUCAUAUGAGAGCAAAGAUCAGAUAGCAACUCUGCUUUUGUGGAGUGGAGAAACAGGGCUUUCAGAUUGUGUAUUGAUGAGUAUUGCAUGCUGUAGCUUGGGGAAUUUGGUGGGAAGGCCUGCAACUAACUAUAAGAUGAGGAUGAGAAGAGUGAAAUGGAGAGUGAGGUGAAGUUUGAGAACUCUUCUGCAAACUUAUGAAAGAAAUCUUAGAUAAGAAGUUGAAUAUAUUAGUUAUGAAGGUUGUGACAAUCCUCCAGUAGGCUGUCUUCAACCUGCUGCAUUGUGACUAGCACUCAGGGCUGAACAGCGAACUCAGCAGAUCAUAACAGUCCAGGCCCUUCAAGACAACUCUACAAUGGGCAACAUGAUGGCCAGAAAGUACUUGGAGAUAGAUCCUAACCAACUCAUUGUGGGGCAUUAUAAAUAUGUUUAAACUGAAUUAAAGGAGAACUAACUGAAUAUCUGCUAUAGAGGUAUUAGAUAUAAC